This is a long non-coding RNA of Pollicipes pollicipes, 969 nucleotides long. RefSeq lists it as uncharacterized. Lineage: Eukaryota; Metazoa; Arthropoda; Thecostraca; Pollicipedomorpha; Pollicipedidae. The transcript has 2 exons. The record is from RefSeq and is a predicted model, not a curated record.
GGGCCUCGCCCCAGCCGCGCCCCUCCUCCACCCAGACGACGCCUGCGGUGGCGAUGCCGGCGGUGGUGCUGCCGGGCGGCGGCCAGCCGCUGACCAUGCCCACCUACUCGGCCGUCACGGCGCAGAACAUCACGUCGGUCGGCGGCUCCGUCGGGGACGGUAGGCCACACAGACCGCCCCUCGCCUUCCUUCCUGUCGCUCUGCGCUCGUUGGCUGUAUGUGCGUGCGUGCGUGCGUGCGUGCGUGCGUGCGUGCGUGCGUGCAGGCGUGCGUGUAGGCGUAUGGACAUGACAGGCCCUCACCAACAAACACGUCUGUGAAGGAGGGGUGAUCCCGGAAGAGCUGUUACACUGUCGACUGCCACGCUCGUUUUCGUCUGGUGAAGAGUGGCCAAGCUGGAUAGCAAAUGACUGAAUGGAUUGCAAAAGCCUCUAUCACUCAUAUACCAGAUGGAUGAUGCUUAUGAAUGACAAGGAUGGAUGUGUUAUUUGUGAUAUGUGAAAACAGACUGCCCUUUGAUUUUAAUUCCCAGGGUGUUGUGGAUGCUCCUCGCUCCGGCUCCUGCCUACCAUUUCCAUCUCUGUCAGGCUCGGAUCGUUUCCCCGUCAAACCUAUUCGCAGCGAUCAUGCAGCCGUAGCCAGAAUAACUAGUGGUUAAUAAGACGAUUGUUACAUUAAUAAUCGAUACUGAAAUAUGUAUUCACGAAUUUGGGUGUUUACAAUAUUUGUAGUGCCUUCCGUGACAUACCAAGUACAAAUCCAAAAACAUGGGGCCUGUUUCAAAGUGUGGUAUGGUCCCGCGUAAAUGAAAGUGACCAUCGGCUGUUAUAGGUAAGAAUAACCUUGUAGGGUGAACUAAUCCGGCCAUCCAAACCCAACGCCAGUUAUGUAUUAAUGUCAGGGAUAUGUACAUUGAGUAUAUUUAGGGCUUGGAAUGGUAGAGAUCUUGGUAAUAAAUAUAGGAUGUGA